AGUUUGACUGGGGCGGUCUCCUCCCAAAGAGUAACGGAGGAGCACGAAGGUGGGCUAAUCACGGUUGGACAUCGUGAGGUUAGUGCAAUGGCAUAAGCCCGCUUGACUGCGAGAAUGACAAUUCGAGCAGGUGCGAAAGCAGGUCAUAGUGAUCCGGUGGUUCUGAAUGGAAGGGCCAUCGCUCAACGGAUAAAAGGUACUCCGGGGAUAACAGGCUGAUACCGCCCAAGAGUUCAUAUCGACGGCGGUGUUUGGCACCUCGAUGUCGGCUCAUCACAUCCUGGGGCUGAAGUCGGUCCCAAGGGUAUGGCUGUUCGCCAUUUAAAGUGGUACGCGAGCUGGGUUUAGAACGUCGUGAGACAGUUCGGUCCCUAUCUGCCGUGGGCGUUGGA
This 392-nucleotide ribosomal RNA is filed under the name Vibrio parahaemolyticus. RNAcentral describes it as "partial 23S ribosomal RNA". It matches the Rfam family "Bacterial large subunit ribosomal RNA", at positions 2267 to 2658 of the family's 2925-position model. The record is from RNAcentral. Lineage: Bacteria; Pseudomonadati; Pseudomonadota; Gammaproteobacteria; Vibrionales; Vibrionaceae.